Long non-coding RNA from Siniperca chuatsi (mandarin fish), 233 nucleotides. RefSeq lists it as uncharacterized. The transcript has 2 exons. The record is from RefSeq and is a predicted model, not a curated record. Lineage: Eukaryota; Metazoa; Chordata; Actinopteri; Centrarchiformes; Sinipercidae.
CGGCCCCGACAGAGCCUUCAUUCUGGGAAUUCACCGCCUCAACAUUAAAGAUAAUAGGAAUGCACACAGGCUGUUUCCAGUAAUAUAGAUUUCCCUCGAUCCUGGUGGAAAACACGGCGAGAGCUUUUCUCGGAGAAAACGAGAAGUCCGCCAGCAAACAUCAAUCAAACUGCAACGCUGGAACACUACUGCCUAUUGAAUAAAUGCACAUUUAUUGCAAUUUGUUUUAAUCA